AGCGAACGCUGGCGGCAGGCCUAAUACAUGCAAGUCGAACGGAUCCUUCGGGAUUAGUGGCGGACGGGUGAGUAACACGUGGGAACGUGCCCUUUGGUUCGGAACAACUCAGGGAAACUUGAGCUAAUACCGGAUAAGCCCUUCGGGGGAAAGGAUUUAUCGCCAUUGGAGCGGCCCGCGUCUGAUUAGCUAGUUGGUGGGGUAAAGGCCUACCAAGGCGACGAUCAGUAGCUGAUCUGAGAGGAGAUCAGCCACACUGGGACUGAGACACGGCCCAGACUCCUACGGGAGGCAGCAGUAGGGAAUCUUGCGCAAUGGGCGAAAGCCUGACGCAGCGACGCCGCGUGAGGGAUGACGGCC
Molecule: ribosomal RNA, 360 nt
Filed under: uncultured bacterium
Lineage: Bacteria
Description: bacterial SSU rRNA
Rfam family: Bacterial small subunit ribosomal RNA
Source: RNAcentral